CAUGUUGGCCAGGAUGGUCUUGAUUUCUUGACCUUGUGAUCCACCUGCCUCAGCCUCCCAAAGUGCUGGGAUUAUAGGCGUGAGCCACCACGCCCGGCCAAAAGAAAGCUUUAUGUGUCCAUUGUGUCACAGAGAGGGCAUCCUUCGGGAAGCAGGGGAACUAGCCCCAGAUGCAAGAGCUGGGACCAGGCCCUGGGCCCCCCACCGCACCUAUUCAAUCAUCCAUGUCCUCCUCUCCCCACCCCUGUUCCUCUGAAACUCCCAGCAGGAUCUCCUUCCUAAAUACCUCCUGUCUUGACUGUUCCCUAGUGAACCGGCUUAUGUGUCUGAAACUCGUCUUCACAGCCAGAUGGUGGCUGGGUGCUCUCCCUCUGCCCCUCACUUUCACAGAGCUUGGAUCCCGGAGAGCACCCUCUCUCAGGACCGCUGGGUGGAGAUCCUUCCUGUUCUCACCUGGCUGGUCUUGGGUGGAGCCAGGCUCUGAACCAGUUGAGGACAGGACCUCAGCUGGUGUGCUCCAUACGCAAAACUGUCUUGAAUCUGCUUCCUGGGACUUGGACUUCGGCGUUCUGGACAUCUGGACCUCCCACAGCCAAGCAGUGGGCACAAGCCCUUAAGAGCCAGUCCUGAGGAUUUGUCCUACCCCCAUAGAGGGUCCUGGCCAGGUGUGUUCGCUCCAGGAGCAGCGCAGGGGGCCAUGGUGGCACCAGAGCCCCAUCACAGGCUGGAGUGCAGUGGCUCAACCAUGGUUUACUGUGGCCUCGUGAACCUGGGCUUAGGUGAUCCUCCCACCUCAACCUCCCAGACAAAGUCUUGCUCUUUUCCCCCGGGCUGGAG
Macaca mulatta (Rhesus monkey) is the source of this 837-nucleotide non-coding RNA. Lineage: Eukaryota; Metazoa; Chordata; Mammalia; Primates; Cercopithecidae. The record is from RefSeq and is a predicted model, not a curated record.